AAUGUUAGACAAUGGGCGCAAGCCGGAUCUGCCAUGCCGGUGAGUGAUGAAGGCCUUAGGGUCGUAAAGUUCGUUGGUCAGGGAUGUUAAUGACAGUACUUGGUAAAGAAACACCGGCUAACUGUUGCCAGCAGCCGCGGUAAUACGGAGGGGGAAGCGUUGUUCUGAAUUACUGGGUGUAAAGCGUACGUAGGCGGAUUAGAAAGUAUGGGGUGAAAUCCCAGGGCUCAACCUGGAUCUGCGUCAUAAAUUAUUAGUGUAGAGUGCGAUAGAGGUAAGUGGAAAUCUGAGGUAGAGGGGAAAUUCGUAGAUUUCGAAAGAACACCAGUGGCGAAGGUGGCUCACUGGCUCGAUACUGACGUUGAGGUAGGAAAGUGGGGGGAGCAAACAGGAUAGAUACCGUGGUAGUCCACACCGAA
This 419-nucleotide ribosomal RNA is filed under the name uncultured marine bacterium. RNAcentral's name for it is "bacterial SSU rRNA". It matches the Rfam family "Bacterial small subunit ribosomal RNA", at positions 360 to 804 of the family's 1533-position model. The record is from RNAcentral.